This 445-nucleotide ribosomal RNA is filed under the name uncultured bacterium. Its description in RNAcentral is "partial 16S ribosomal RNA". It matches the Rfam family "Bacterial small subunit ribosomal RNA", at positions 354 to 796 of the family's 1533-position model. The record is from RNAcentral.
GUAGGGAAUAUUGGGCAAUGGAGGCAACUCUGACCCAGCCAUGCCGCGUGCAGGAUGACGGCCCUCUGGGUUGUAAACUGCUUUUAUACGGGAAGAAAAAAUACUACGUGUAGUAUACUGACGGUACCGUAAGAAUAAGGAUCGGCUAACUCCGUGCCAGCAGCCGCGGUAAUACGGAGGAUCCAAGCGUUGUCCGGAUUUAUUGGGUUUAAAGGGUGCGUAGGCGGAUCUUUAAGUCAGUGGUGAAAGCCUGCAGCUUAACUGUAGAAUUGCCGUUGAAACUGAAGAUCUUGAAUGUGGUUAAAGUAGGCGGAAUGUAUCAUGUAGCGGUGAAAUGCUUAGAUAUGAUACAGAACACCGAUAGCGAAGGCAGCUUGCUGAACCAUUAUUGACGCUGAGGCACGAAAGCGUGGGGAGCGAACAGGAUUAGAUACCCGGGUAGUCC